UCAUUGGUGGUUCAGUGGUAGAAUUCUCGCCUGCCACGCGGGAGACCCGGGUCCGAUUCCCGGCCAAUGCA
This is a non-coding RNA of Danio rerio (zebrafish), 71 nucleotides long. NCBI's taxonomy places the organism in Eukaryota, Metazoa, Chordata, Actinopteri, Cypriniformes, Danionidae. The record is from Rfam.